Molecule: long non-coding RNA, 334 nt
Filed under: Mytilus galloprovincialis (Mediterranean mussel)
Lineage: Eukaryota; Metazoa; Mollusca; Bivalvia; Mytilida; Mytilidae
Source: RNAcentral
AAUUGCUGGGCCUAUUAUAGCUGAGUAUGUGAAAUUGGCUUUGCUCAUUGUUGAAGCCCAUACAGUUACCUAUAGCUGUUAAUUUCUGUAUCAUUUGAUCUCCUGUCUCAUUGGCAAUCAUACCGCAUUUUUUUUCUAUAGGUAUAUUCUUUUUUCUUGAAGUUUAAUUCAUUUUAACUCAUUACUAUUACAAUCUACGAAUUAUACAUUUGUAAAAGACAUCCUUCACUAUAUAUAAUAUUAUCAAGAUAUCCAAGAUACACUGCAUUUUAUAUUUAUUAUAGAAUAUUUUAUAUAAAGGUAGGCAUUUAUUAUUGUUUCAUUUAUAUACCUC